UGCACUUAGACCUGUCGUCGGUAAUAUUAUCUCCGAGUUACUCGAUAGUGAUAUCAUUCGUCCUUCGGACUCAUCUGGAAUUGUCGUCGUUAAGAAACAGAAUGGUGAACAUCGCCUUUGCGUCGACUACCGACGUCUCAACAGUAUAACCGUCAAAAUACCGUUUCCAAUGCCAAAACUGGAUGAACAAUUUGCCCAAUUAGCCGCGAAUGCCUAUUUUUCUCAGCUGGACUUGCGUAUGGAAUAUCAUCAAGUCGAGGUUUGCGAAGCAUCCAAACAAUUCACAGCAUUUGUAACUUCAGGAUGCCGUUCGGUCUCGUCAAUGCCCCAGCAGUUUUUCAAGCGGUCAUGAACAAAAUAGUCAAACGCAUGUAGCCAGGGCCAUAUUGUCAACAAAGAUGGUAUCACUCCUGGAGAAAACAAGAUUGUUGCGUAAAUCAGACCAAAACUGUUUCGAUUGGGGAAAUGACCAGCAACGGGCUAAUCGACAAAUUAUGCUGUGUUCCUGUUCUGGUUCUGUAUGACUUUGCAGCACAUCUUGAGGUACACAUAGAUGCUUAUGCGAUCGGACUAGCAGGAGUCCUAUUGCAAUCUCAAGACAAAACGAAUUGGCCACCUGUCUGCUAUUUUAGUAGGUAGGUUUAGUACUGACGCUGAAAGUAGAUACCAUAGCUAUGAACUCGAGACGUUGGCCGUUGUAGCAACACAUCAAAGGUUUGGGGUGUAUAUUCUAGGAAAAC
Drosophila subpulchrella is the source of this 740-nucleotide long non-coding RNA. RefSeq lists it as uncharacterized. The transcript has 3 exons. The record is from RefSeq and is a predicted model, not a curated record. Lineage: Eukaryota; Metazoa; Arthropoda; Insecta; Diptera; Drosophilidae.